This is a long non-coding RNA of Cicer arietinum (chickpea), 628 nucleotides long. RefSeq lists it as uncharacterized. Lineage: Eukaryota; Viridiplantae; Streptophyta; Magnoliopsida; Fabales; Fabaceae. The record is from RefSeq and is a predicted model, not a curated record.
UCGACUAUAUUCAAGCAUCCUUGUCAUAUUUUGGUAGAAAUACCAAAGCCAAAUCCUAAAUAGACCACAUUUACAAUUCGUCCACAAUGCCUGUAAUUAUUAGCCAUUAGAUUAACUGAUUCUCAUAGUAACAUGCUAUACCUUCCCACAUCUAAUCAUUCUUCCAAAUGCGAAAACCCCACGCCGCCUUAACAUCUAUGCGGCAACACAACUGACCACCGUGUCUUUCCCGUCAGCACCACCUUCCAUGUUAAGUGACUGACUACUCAUCUUUAGAGAGACACUAAAAGGGGAUGUUGAUUUUGCUCCUCAUUCUUGUAUUGUCUAUGAAAGACAAAAAGGAAAAGGGAAGAUGGUAGAAGAAGAAGAAGAAGAAAUUAUUAAGUGCAGAGGGUGUACCGUAAUAUUGUGAGGUAUAGAUUAAUCCAAGGGUUCCCUUUACCAGUAAUAGUAUCUUAAAAUGAAUUAUGGUGUAUGCAGCAUAAGAGAGAGAACUCUCCUUUAAUAUAAUUUGUCUUCAAUUGGUUGCACCAUAAAGUUGGUCCUAGAGGAUUCAAGUCAAAGCAAUAAUCAUAUUUUAGUUUUUUGUUUUUGUUUUAAUUUGAGAGGUCCUACUAUUAACCCCACA